UACGUAGGGUGCGAGCGUUGUCCGGAAUUAUUGGGCGUAAAGGGCUCGUAGGCGGUUUGUCACGUCGGGAGUGAAAACUCGGGGCUUAACCCCGAGCCUGCUUCCGAUACGGGCUGACUAGAGGUAUGCAGGGGAGAACGGAAUUCCUGGUGUAGCGGUGAAAUGCGCAGAUAUCAGGAGGAACACCGGUGGCGAAGGCGGGUCUCUGGGCAGUAACUGACGCUGAGGAGCGAAAGCGUGGGGAGCGAACAGG
This 253-nucleotide ribosomal RNA is filed under the name uncultured bacterium. RNAcentral's name for it is "partial 16S ribosomal RNA". It matches the Rfam family "Bacterial small subunit ribosomal RNA", at positions 524 to 776 of the family's 1533-position model. The record is from RNAcentral.